ACACUGAAGGCCUAUAGGUUCACCACUGUACUAACCUGUCACACACUGAAGGCCUAUAGGUUCACCACUGUACUAACCUGUCACACACUGAAGACCUAUAGGUUCACCACUGUACUAACCUGUCACACACUGAAGGCCUAUAGGUUCACCACUGUACUAACCUGUCACACACUGAAGACCUAUAGGGUCACCACUGUACUAACCUGUCACACACUGAAGACCUAUAGGUUCACCACUGUACUAACCUGUCACACACUGAAGACCUAUAGGUUCACCACUGUACUAACCUGUCACACACUGAAGACCUAUAG
This 311-nucleotide long non-coding RNA is filed under the name Salmo salar (Atlantic salmon). RNAcentral's name for it is "lncRNA (ENSSSAG00000098534.1)". Lineage: Eukaryota; Metazoa; Chordata; Actinopteri; Salmoniformes; Salmonidae. The record is from RNAcentral.